AUGUUGAUUCAAUGUUUAAUUAUAGUUACCAUUUCAACGUUUGAAAACCUGUCGUUGAAUCAAUGUAACAGGUUUUCAAUCAUCUUUACUAUAGAUGAUGAUUUUUCUAUGUUGAAAUGCCCUACAGUGGAUCCACAUCGUUUCAAUGGUGCUGAUGGGGUUAGGGGAGGAGAGGGGGAACAGGGGCUCCCGAGACCAGAGAGAUCUCACGAGACCAGAGAGAUCUCGCGGGACUUCAGCUCAAACUGUAGCGGGAAUUUGGGCACAAAACAGCAGAUAAACUUCUGUGUGAGACAAACUGCCUCUGGAGGAAGCUACUCAGAGGAUGUUCAGUCAUUUGACCAGCCUGAUGGUGAGUGAACUACUUCACAUUACUACCUGAGAGGAGUGGCGGGGUACCAAGAAAAGAAAAGGCAAAGAGUUAGAAGGACAAAUGAGUUGAAUCUUUAAAGUUACUUUGCUCUUAUGUUCAGUUCAUGUUGAACUGGGGUCCUAUUUAUAAUGUUUGUGUCCCCUGGAUUUUCAGGGCAAAGGUAGCCAGAUAAUUCAUUAAGACGUUUGUUCAUGUUGAACUGUGGUCCUAUUAGAUCACACAUCUAAAAGAUUUCAAAUUAACAGACGUGUCCGACAAGGCUGCCCUAUAUCUCCCUUUUUAUUUCUUUUAGUCACUGAGUUAUUGUCAAUCAGUAUAGUAAACAAUGAGAAAUUUGAAGGUAUCUCAAUUAUUUGGCAGAGAAUUAAAAAUCUCCCAACUGGCAGAUGACACUACACUUUUAACCCUUUAAGCGCCGGGUUUUAUUUUGAAAAAUACUAGAUUUUGACAUCUAAAUUUCAGGAGGCUCUGACUUGAAAGUGGUUUGAGAUAGAGACAAAGUGUAAAUGAGACAAAUAUUGAGAAUGACCUAAAGUUUAAAUUUCCCCAUUUAAUUAGCAUAUUAUGACGUCAUAUGGCGACGGCCAUAUUGGAUUAUAUAAUUUCCAUGAAAUACCUGAUAUUUUGAAAGAGAGUUGAACUUAUUUCAUCGGAUUCACCCCCCUCCAUCUAUUUGUUAUGUUGUCCGCAUAUCAAAUGUACAGGGAAAAGUAAAUUGUAAGCCAACAGUCAUAAACUAGAACUAUUACUACCACAAAACUUAUGUAAACAGUAGGCGUUUUUUAUGAUUUUUUACCUACUACCACCCCUCCUAUUGGAGGACACUUUUCCUUUUCUUUUUUAUUCUCUUCUUCAUCAUUAUUAUUAUUAUUAUCGUCAUUAUUAUCAUCAUUAUAAUAUGAUAAUAAUAAUAACAGUAGGUGUCUUUUAGCUGCAGAGGCCUAAUCUGAUCUAUCGAGAUAAAAGUUUGUAGUAUUUGUAGAGUGUGGAACCUCUCAUUGCAAGGCACAGUACAGAGACAAUAUGAACAAUAUUGAGACCCCACCACAUAGCCUAACAAAUGGAUAGGCACACCACUGCCGCAUCGGAUGGCCGCGCAUGGACGCACUGCGACCGGCGCGGUAGAAAGAGUGAACACUAACGCUGGUCCCAGCGCUAUUCUCACCACCCCCGCUACUUCUACCACAUCCAUUAGCUCCCCUACCGAUACUACGAGUUCGUGUAGUACUCCCACCUAUGUUGGGCAAAAUGUCUUGUGUUUGUGCUUGUGUGUUUACCUCGCUCUGCCCGGCAGCGCCGGUGCAAAGACGCACCGUGCCUAUCAUGCUCACUAAACGACCGGCCGUCAUCUCCCUAAGGUACAUUUUCCCCUUCAGAAUCAGGAUCAGCGAAUAGGAGACCCAUCACUUCCCUAAUCAUCAACUUUUAGCUUGUUAUUUUCGUUUAUUUCGUCUCAAUAACUCCUAAAUCCAGCAAUACCGCUUCAGCAUAAAUAGCGCCGUGGCGCACUAUUUCUGGUUUCUCGCCCAACAAUUUGGACGGGUCUUCCUCGAACAUUUUGCAUUGAAACAUGAUGUUUUUCUGAGCUAAGGUCUAAGUACGGGAUGUCUGCCAACUAGUGGAGGGGAGUAUGAAUGAGAUAUAACACUCUAUUAGGAGAAAACAGCUGUUUAAUUCAGUACCGCGUCCUAUCGCAAUUUUGCGACUUUGGCUCUUAAAGGGUUAAAAAAAGUCAAGAAUCAACUCUCUAUUACUCUAAUUAUCCAAUUUUCAAACGCCUCAGGUCUAAGACUUAAUAUGUCCAAAUGUCUCCCCGACACGGUAUUGUUUAUGGGCUAAACCUACAUAGUACAGAUGCUUACAGCUGUUAGCUCACAAUGACAGUACUAAAGUUCUUUGCGGGUUCACAUAACUUGACCCACUAGGUUGCAUGUUUCUGAUGGACGAGCUAGUCUGAUGCCAAACAUGUGUGAGAGGUCUGACAGGACAUGUUUGUUUGUUUACAUCGCGUUGCGCUGCACAUUAUGAAACCAACAUUUGGAAUACCGCAGUCAAAACCCUGUCUUUCACUUUCUCUGUUGGGUCCGUGGAACGCAGUCAAUACAACCAACCCUCUGACGUCGUAAGUCAGAGUGCUACAAGAUGCCGGCGCCCUUGCCUCAAAAAACAAACGUGGACUUCUUUUUUCUCUAAAAUGCUUACAUUUGUCACUUUUAUUUUACAAUUAUUGAGUAGAGGUUAAAUCCAUUUAGUAAAUCAGCUUAACUUGGUUGACUGCUUCAUAUCCACUUUAACAUAGCAUUUGUUUCUCUCAAUGCACAAGUGCUUCAUCCCAGCGCUCCACAGAACCCUGUCCAUAAUUUUCUGUCAGAAAAAAUGCUUUAUGUACACUUACAGUUCAUUAGAAAAUUCUCAAUAAACCCUUGAAAAAGAUUAUAGACAUUAGCACAACACUGGUGCACACAUAACAUUCAAAUAAAGUGUAAAAAUUGUAACAUGUCAGUAUGUAAUAAUAACGCUAUGUUAACAUUUUGUGUAAUUUAUUGUGUAUAUUUCUUGAGCUACAACCCAAUUUUGUUAAUCGAGAAGAAGAAGAAGAAGAAGAAGAAGAAGAAGAAGGGG
Dicentrarchus labrax (European seabass) is the source of this 2995-nucleotide long non-coding RNA. The record is from Ensembl. Lineage: Eukaryota; Metazoa; Chordata; Actinopteri; Moronidae.